AGAGUUUGAUCAUGGCUCAGAACUAACGCUGGCGGCGUGCCUAACACAUGCAAGUCGUACGAGAAAGUUGGCUUCGGCUGAUGAGUAAAGUGGCGCACGGGUGAGUAACGCGUGGAUAAUCUGCCUUUUAGUUGGGAAUAACGUACCGAAAGGUGCGCUAAUACCGGAUAAUACUGCAUAACUACUGUUGUGUAGUCAAAGAAGGCCUCUGUUUACAAGCUUUUGCUGAAAGAUGAGUCCGCGUACCAUUAGCUAGUUGGUAGGGUAAUGGCCUACCAAGGCUACGAUGGUUAGCUGGUCUGAGAGGAUGAUCAGCCACACUGGAACUGAGACACGGUCCAGACUCCUACGGGAGGCAGCAGUGAGGAAUAUUGCGCAAUGGGGGCAACCCUGACGCAGCAACGCCGCGUGAGUGAGGAAGGUUUUCGGACCGUAAAGCUCUGUCGAGUGGGAAGAAAUGUAUCAUGGCUAAUAUCCAAGGUAUUUGACGGUACCGCUAAAGGAAGCACCGGCUAACUCCGUGCCAGCAGCCGCGGUAAUACGGGGGGUGCAAGCGUUGUUCGGAAUUAUUGGGCGUAAAGAGCGUGUAGGCGGCUGAAUAAGUCAGAUGUGAAAUCCCUGAGCUUAACUCAGGAAGUGCAUUUGAAACUAUUCGGCUUGAGUAGGGGAGAGGAAAGUGGAAUUCCUGGUGUAGAGGUGAAAUUCGUAGAUAUCAGGAGGAACACCGGUGGCGAAGGCGACUUUCUGGCC
RNAcentral lists this ribosomal RNA (750 nucleotides) under uncultured bacterium. Its description in RNAcentral is "bacterial SSU rRNA". It matches the Rfam family "Bacterial small subunit ribosomal RNA", at positions 8 to 734 of the family's 1533-position model. The record is from RNAcentral.